GAUGAAGCCCCUUCGGGGGUGGAUUAGUGGCGAACGGGUGAGUAACACGUGGGCAAUCUGCCCUGCACUCUGGGACAAGCCCUGGAAACGGGGUCUAAUACCGGAUACGACCCUCGGCCGCAUCGCCUCUGGGUGGAAAGCUCCGGCGGUGCAGGAUGAGCCCGCGGCCUAUCAGCUUGUUGGUGAGGUAACGGCUCACCAAGGCGACGACGGGUAGCCGGCCUGAGAGGGCGACCGGCCACACUGGGACUGAGACACGGCCCAGACUCCUACGGGAGGCAGCAGUGGGGAAUAUUGCACAAUGGGCGCAAGCCUGAUGCAGCGACGCCGCGUGAGGGAUGACGGCCUUCGGGUUGUAAACCUCUUUCAGCAGGGAAGAAGCGUAAGUGACGGUACCUGCAGAAGAAGCGCCGGCUAACUACGUGCCAGCAGCCGGGGUAAUUCCA
This 446-nucleotide ribosomal RNA is filed under the name Streptomyces sp. EYN-5-5. RNAcentral describes it as "bacterial SSU rRNA". It matches the Rfam family "Bacterial small subunit ribosomal RNA", at positions 68 to 528 of the family's 1533-position model. The record is from RNAcentral. Lineage: Bacteria; Bacillati; Actinomycetota; Actinomycetes; Kitasatosporales; Streptomycetaceae.